CCAUGAGUAAAGUGGCGCACGGGUGAGUAACACGUGACUAACCUACCCUUGAGUGGGGGAUAACCUAGGGAAACCUGGGCUAAUACCGCAUAAUACCUAUGGGUCAAAGGAGCAAUUCGCUUUAGGAGGGGGUCGCGGCAGAUUAGUUAGUUGGCGGGGUAAUGGCCCACCAAGACGAUGAUCUGUAUCCGGCCUGAGAGGGCGCACGGACACACUGGAACUGAAACACGGUCCAG
Molecule: ribosomal RNA, 236 nt
Filed under: uncultured bacterium
Lineage: Bacteria
Description: partial 16S ribosomal RNA
Rfam family: Bacterial small subunit ribosomal RNA
Source: RNAcentral